UAGCUUAGUUGGUAGAGUGCUUGCCUUGCAUGCAUGGGGUCCUGGGUUCAACCCCAG
Molecule: transfer RNA, 57 nt
Filed under: Ictidomys tridecemlineatus (thirteen-lined ground squirrel)
Lineage: Eukaryota; Metazoa; Chordata; Mammalia; Rodentia; Sciuridae
Description: Spermophilus tridecemlineatus (thirteen-lined ground squirrel) tRNA
Rfam family: tRNA
About the family: Transfer RNA (tRNA) molecules are approximately 80 nucleotides in length.
Source: Rfam by way of RNAcentral